UGAUGAUGGUGAGGGUAAAUUUUGAGCAUACCCUUAAAUCUCUCUCAAGCUUGGUAGAGAUUCUCUCCUCCUUUUUGUCUAAAACUCAAGAUCUCAUUCCUCAAGCA
This 107-nucleotide small nucleolar RNA is filed under the name Capsicum annuum. RNAcentral describes it as "Plant small nucleolar RNA R71". It matches the Rfam family "Plant small nucleolar RNA R71". Rfam says of the family: R71 is a member of the C/D box family of snoRNAs containing the C (UGAUGA) and D (CUGA) box motifs. The record is from Rfam by way of RNAcentral. Lineage: Eukaryota; Viridiplantae; Streptophyta; Magnoliopsida; Solanales; Solanaceae.